UGCAAGUCGAGCGGACUGAUGGGAGCUUGCUCCCUGAAGUCAGCGGCGGACGGGUGAGUAACACGUGGGUAACCUGCCUGUAAGACUGGGAUAACUCCGGGAAACCGGGGCUAAUACCGGAUAGUUCUUUUCCUCGCAUGAGGAAAAGUGGAAAGGCGGCUUCGGCUGCCACUUACAGAUGGACCCGCGGCGCAUUAGCUAGUUGGUGAGGUAACGGCUCACCAAGGCAACGAUGCGUAGCCGACCUGAGAGGGUGAUCGGCCACACUGGGACUGAGACACGGCCCAGACUCCUACGGGAGGCAGCAGUAGGGAAUCUUCCGCAAUGGACGAAAGUCUGACGGAGCAACGCCGCGUGAGUGAUGAAGGUUUUCGGAUCGUAAAGCUCUGUUGUUAGGGAAGAACAAGUGCCGUUCGAAUAGGGCGGCACCUUGACGGUACCUAACCAGAAAGCCACGGCUAACUACGUGCCAGCAGCCGCGGUAAUACGUAGGUGGCAAGCGUUGUCCGGAAUUAUUGGGCGUAAAGCGCGCGCAGGCGGUCUCUUAAGUCUGAUGUGAAAGCCCACGGCUCAACCGUGGAGGGUCAUUGGAAA
This 594-nucleotide ribosomal RNA is filed under the name Bacillus sp. CH128b_4D. Its description in RNAcentral is "bacterial SSU rRNA". It matches the Rfam family "Bacterial small subunit ribosomal RNA", at positions 56 to 632 of the family's 1533-position model. Lineage: Bacteria; Bacillati; Bacillota; Bacilli; Caryophanales; Bacillaceae. RNAcentral also lists the same sequence under 1 other name. The record is from RNAcentral.